GAUGAACGCUGGCGGCGUGCUUAACACAUGCAAGUCGAACGGUGAAGCAGGAGCUUGCUCUUGUGGAUCAGUGGCGAACGGGUGAGUAACACGUGAGCAACCUGCCCCUGACUCUGGGAUAAGCGCUGGAAACGGCGUCUAAUACUGGAUAUGUGAUGUGACCGCAUGGUCUGCAUCUGGAAAGAAUUUCGGUUGGGGAUGGGCUCGCGGCCUAUCAGCUUGUUGGUGAGGUAAUGGCUCACCAGGGCGGCGACGGGUAGCCGGCCUGUGAGGGUGACCGGCCACACUGGGACUGAGACACGGCCCAGACUCCUACGGGAGGCAGCAGUGGGGAAUAUUGCACAAUGGGCGGAAGCCUGAUGCAGCAACGCCGCGUGAGGGAUGACGGCCUUCGGGUUGUAAACCUCUUUUAGCAGGGAAGAAGCGAAAGUGACGGUACCUGCAGAAAAAGCACCGGCUAACUACGUGCCAGCCGCCGCCGUAA
RNAcentral lists this ribosomal RNA (484 nucleotides) under uncultured bacterium. RNAcentral's name for it is "partial 16S ribosomal RNA". It matches the Rfam family "Bacterial small subunit ribosomal RNA", at positions 28 to 523 of the family's 1533-position model. The record is from RNAcentral.